RNAcentral lists this ribosomal RNA (216 nucleotides) under Glomeromycotina sp. Its description in RNAcentral is "partial small subunit ribosomal RNA". The stretch from base 40 to 216 matches the Rfam family "Eukaryotic small subunit ribosomal RNA", at positions 686 to 864 of the family's 1831-position model. The record is from RNAcentral. Lineage: Eukaryota; Fungi; Glomeromycota.
GGGUCAGUAGGUUGGUCGUGCCACCGGUACGUACUGGUCUCACUGAUUCCUCCUUCCUGAAGAACCGUAAUGCCAUUAAUUUGGUGUUGCGGGGAAACAGGACUGUUACUUUGAAAAAAUUAGAGUGUUUAAAGCAAGCUAACGCUUGAAUACAUUAGCAUGGAAUUAUGAAAUAGGACGAUCGAUCCUAUUUUGUUGGUUUCUAGGAUUGACGUA